Molecule: unclassified non-coding RNA, 188 nt
Filed under: uncultured Diaporthales
Lineage: Eukaryota; Fungi; Ascomycota; Sordariomycetes; Diaporthales
Description: sequence contains ITS1
Source: RNAcentral
CUGGAACAAACCGUUCUUCGGAACGGCCACCCAGAAACCCUUGUGAACUUAUACCUAAAACUGUUGCCUCGGCUUUGGUUGGCCUCUAAUGAGGUCCCUACGUCUUUUGACGUAGGAGCAGACCGGCCGGUGGCCCUAUAAACUAUUGUUUCUGUGAAUCUUCUGAGUAACUAAAAAGUAAAUAAUCA